This 1325-nucleotide unclassified non-coding RNA is filed under the name Hevea brasiliensis (rubber tree). The record is from RNAcentral. Lineage: Eukaryota; Viridiplantae; Streptophyta; Magnoliopsida; Malpighiales; Euphorbiaceae.
UGCUAAGAUAAUGUAUGCAAAAGCCGAGGAAAAAUUAGGGAAGCGGAGCGGGGUUUUACUUUCAGAGCUAGCAGAUCAACAAUAUCGGCGAGGCGACCUCUGAAAUUCUAGCUUAAAGCAAUUUUAUUACCUUGAUCAGCCUUUCUCUGCUUCUCUUUUGCCCUCCAUGGCUACCAUACCAGUUAAUCCUAAGCCUUUCUUGAACAACUUGACUGGGAAGACUGUUAUCGUAAAACUCAAGUGGGGAAUGGAAUACAAAGGCAAGCCUACCUUGUCUUUUUCUUCUUUUUCUUAGUAAUUUCAAACUUAUUGUUCAUUAUUUCAACUGGUUGCCCUUUCAGGUUUUCUUGCUUCAGUGGAUUCAUACAUGAAUCUACAGGUCCUGCCUCAAUUUACUUGUAUCAAUUAAUUUUUUAAUCUUAGUUUCCUACUUUCUUACCAUUAUCCCAUGUAACUUAAGUGAAAUACAAUCUUUCACAAUCUGUUGGAGUUUCUUUAUGUGUAAUUUCGACUAUUUCUCCUCUUUGGUAUACAUUGUUUGUAACCUUUUACAAUUAUUGAAUUCUGAUAUGCAGCUGGGUAACACUGAAGAAUAUAUUGACGGUCAAUUCACUGGAAAUCUUGGAGAGAUUCUGAUCAGGUACCUUAUAACUAAAUGCCUCCUGGUAUGAACAUUUCGUACAGGGCAUGGGUGUUAAACCUCGAAUUUCUUUUAGUUGAAGUCAGUGGUAGAAUCAGAAAUUGACAUUAGGGAGGCCAAGAUCUAAUAAUUUGUUACUCUCCUGAAAAUUGAAUAGUCACUAUCUGUUAGAGUUAAAAUAGUAGCUUUUAAAUUUUCAGAAUCCCUUUUCAUAAAAUACGUAUCAAUAAUUUUAUUUUUUUACUCAUGAUAUUAACGUCUUAAUUUUACUAACUUAAAAUUUUAUUAGUUCACAAUUUAAACAUACACAUAAUUACAAAAGUAAAACUUAAAAUUUUAUGAAAACUUUUAUAAAUUCACAUUUUGCACAUGCAUAUAAUUACAAAAAUAACACAAAAGUAGUUAAAAAUUAAUAAAAAUUUUCGUCAAAUUUUCCAUCUAUUUUUACUAAAUAUCAAAACUUAAUAAAUACCCUAUAAAAUGAAAUUAUCAAUUUUAAUUAUGGAAUAGAAUGAAAAUGAAAAGUAGAAUGAAAUUAUUAAUUUUGAUGGGCUGAAAUGUUUACUUAAUUAUGAAUUUGAAUUAUAAAAUAGGGCAAGAUAAGAUUUUGAAGAAUAAUUUCACUUGAAUAUUAGAAAAAAAAUAUUUUAGUGUGGGUUAGGAGUUGAGAGAAGGGAGAUUGAGG